AUCCAUCUGACGAAUCCCAAAUAGGACAAGACGCUCGUCCUGGAU
Molecule: non-coding RNA, 45 nt
Organism: Schistosoma mansoni
Lineage: Eukaryota; Metazoa; Platyhelminthes; Trematoda; Strigeidida; Schistosomatidae
Source: Rfam